Molecule: small RNA, 164 nt
Filed under: Chelonoidis abingdonii (Abingdon island giant tortoise)
Lineage: Eukaryota; Metazoa; Chordata; Testudines; Testudinidae
Description: TUC338 (ENSCABG00000021162.1)
Source: RNAcentral
UAGGGGGACUUGGAGACUGAAGUACUACAUUUAUUCACAGAACAGGUAUAGCAAGGGCAGCAAAAUUUCCCUACUCUGCCGCAUCAAUGUGACAUAGUCUUGACCAGCUUUAAGGAUGUAACGCUGUGAUGGGGUGUUCACCCCACAUGCACUGAGAGGGUUCA